GAGGGGUUUUAGUCAGUAGGCCCGAGGACACGUUCCUCGGGAAUCCGACACUACCCAAUCGUGCGGACGGCCUGGGUGCCUUUUGAAGAUUUUCCCUCCUC
Non-coding RNA from Agrilus planipennis (emerald ash borer), 101 nucleotides. The record is from Rfam. NCBI's taxonomy places the organism in Eukaryota, Metazoa, Arthropoda, Insecta, Coleoptera, Buprestidae.